UGUGUCCUUUUACAUUUCGUGCAUGUUCAUGAUCAUCUCUGUAGACCCCACACUCAUCAUUCCCUUCCCAGUGGAAUUUCCUUGUUCCAUCACCGUCGUAGGCUCUUUUUCCGAACUCUGGACGUCGGUCGAUCAAUGUUGGGACUCUGAUGUCGAUCAACAGUUGAGUAUGUUGUCGACACUUUGGCUUGAAACGAUCAUCUAGUCCACCAGUUGGGUCAUAGAACUCGUUUAUAACUCUAUGCUGGUGCUCUAGAGGGUUGUGUCGUUGCAUGAAGAGAUUUUCUGCUCCAUUAGCCAUUAGCCAUCAGAAGGAUAUCUGGAAUGUCCUCUCUGGAUACUUGCAAUCGUGUCCAUUCAUUGCUCUUGCAUAGCCUUCUGGAUCCUUGAAAAUACCAAACUCAUCCAGUGUUAGAUAGUUAUUAUUUUGUUUAGCUUUUGCACUUACAGUUGAUGGUGGUUUUGGACGGUUGUCGAUCAAUGUUGAAGCUUUUUUGUCGAUCGAUGGGCGUUUAGCUCUGGUGAAAGGACGACAGAAACGAGUGCUUCUUCCACAAACUUCUGCAAAGAGUGAAUCUGUAUCUGAGCGUUCCUGGUGGUUGAGCAGUUCCUCGGUAGUGAAACCUUCAUGUUACUCAUCUGCUCCCGGCUCAUGUAUUGCUCUUUCUCUUGCGUAGCUCUCAUGAUAGUGAUCAUAUGCCCAACUGCCAAUUGAAUAGUUUCCUUCUUGUGCACGGUCAACUCCAUUGUUGAUCGAUGUGUAGUAGGCAAUGUCGGUCGAUGCUCGUUUACAAUUUGUCUGGUGAUGAUGAGUGUCGAUCAAUGUUGGGAUGGUUCUGUCGAUCGACUUCGUAUUCCUUAUCCGAUAGGAAUGGUGGAGAAGUCUAUC
RNAcentral lists this long non-coding RNA (889 nucleotides) under Brassica napus (rape). RNAcentral describes it as "long non-coding RNA (BNAP_LNC024000)". Lineage: Eukaryota; Viridiplantae; Streptophyta; Magnoliopsida; Brassicales; Brassicaceae. The record is from RNAcentral.